RNAcentral lists this ribosomal RNA (253 nucleotides) under uncultured bacterium. RNAcentral's name for it is "partial 16S ribosomal RNA". It matches the Rfam family "Bacterial small subunit ribosomal RNA", at positions 524 to 776 of the family's 1533-position model. The record is from RNAcentral.
UACAGAGACUGCAAGCGUUAUUCGGAUUCACUGGGCGUAAAGGGUGCGCAGGCGGUCGUGUGUGUCAGAUGUGAAAUCCCGGAGCUUAACUCCGGAACUGCGUCUGAAACUACAUGACUAGAGCAUUGGAGAGGGAAGUGGAAUUCAUGGUGUAGCAGUGAAAUGCGUAGAUAUCAUGAGGAACACCAAGGGCGAAGGCAGCUCGCUGGGACGGUACUGACGCUGAGACGCGAAAGCGUGGGGAGCAAACGGG